GUGUGUGUGUGUGUUUGUGCGUGUGUGUGCGUGUGUGUGUGUGUGUGUGUGUGUCGCCGCCAUGUUGAUGUGGCGCCGCCAUUUUGUGUCUUUCACGUACACACAGGCGACGUCCAUCAUCGCCCGGCUCGCCAUCUCGCUGUCAUCUGGACCGUAGUGUGGCGUAUUGGCUGCCGGGCGCAUGCAUCAUAGGCGUCGCAUCUCCGAUAAAGGGGAAGGCUAAUAAAUGGCUGUUAUAAAUUCAGGACUCCAUGAAAGCAGUGUGCAUGUGUGUGUGCGUGCGUGCAUGUGUGUGAUGAGCUUCAUCACAUGGACACAGUUGAGCGAGCGCGUACAAAAGCGAGCUGAUGGAGCGGCCUUCUGCUGACAAUCAAGAGAAGUAGGUCACCUCUGAGGCGGCGUCCCACAGGGUCCCACACCAGGUCAUCUUACGUCACGCCACGCCCUCUGCUUGACGCUGCGUCUAUUUGUACGCCACGCCCGUGUGUGCAUGCAGGGGGUUUUCGGUUUACGAUGCUACCCGCACACGAGGUUAGGAACAGUGCGUGCUGAAGUACGUCAUUUUUAAUUUGAUGGUUUUGUAGUUACGUCUAAUAUAAAAUAAUUGCUUUAUUCAGUGUUUAAUAGCAAAAACAAAAAUGCUAAGCUGCCAUCAAUAAACCUCCCUAGUUUUUUUCGUGUUUGACUGUUUUAUAUCUAUGGCCUUCCAUGUUUUUUAAUACACAUUUACUGUCACCAUGAUUGUCAGGCUAGGUUCGUGAAAGAAAAAUUCAACAUUUCCAUUAAGGUGAGGUUUCCCAGUCCAAUAACGUUUCAUGUUUGUGCCUAGUCAUUUACUCUAAUUAGAGUUUUACAAAUUGAGUUACAUUGCAGCCAUAAGAAUGCAACACCGACGUAAAUCGAGAACCCCUUUAAGGAUGUGUGUGUGCGCGCCAUUUUAAAAACCUUCCAAAUGUAUAUUUAUGACCUUGUUUGUUUUAAAUACAAAAAAAUGGAAUUAGGUUCUUUUUUUUUCUAGUCAAUAAAUGUGAAUCUUAUGUGAUGGUCGUAUGAUGUAUUUUUCAAUAUGGCUUAAUGGCAAUGCACACAGAGAGAUGGAAUCAGCACAGAAGAGGAUUCAUCAAGCGUAUCUGCACGUCACACAGUUGCAUGUGAAGUGCGGCGCCUUUCUAAUCAAUACACAGAUUAAGUGUGUGUGUGUGCGCGCGCGCGCGCUCGUUUCUUGAUGAAUCACUGAUGUGGCUCAUGGACAAACUACAUUUUCUCCUAAAUGCCUCAUCAACUUUGAUUAUAGAAGCUCUCGCCACGUCCAAAAGGCCUUGUGACGCAACCACAUGGAUGAAUCACAGUGAAGCUAGGCCAAAUUGUGUUUAAAAAAAGAAAAAUGCGAUGACUAAGCCAGAUGACAAAAACAUAUUACAUCAUUAUGGUCUGAAUGGAUUGAAAAUAAUUUUGCUACAUGCAGUUAAAUCAAGUUUGGUGCAAGCACAGGACUGCUUGUGACCAGAAGAAUACCUACCAUCCCUAAAUUGAAACAUAAUGGUUGCAUAAGCAGUAGUGGAGAUAUGACUCAAUGACUGACGCUCCAUUUAACUGUAGUAGCUGCUUUUGAUUCAUCCUCAUCCAUUCAUUUUAUUCGUGACUAUUAUUAGUCAAGCAAGGUGCACCCUUCACCAUGCAGCCAUGCUUGCAGACUCAACCCCCCCCCCCCCCCCCCCCCCCCAUAUCUAAAUGACUGUAAUCUGGGGAUGAAUAGCAAUCAGCAGCCUUGUAUGAGCCACUGGCACUCGGCCUGACCAUCUUCCCCUAUCGCCCCCUUCAACCUUCCAUCCACAAUCAACCCACUGGCGCCUAUUCACAAGUAGCCAUGACACGCACACAUGCAGCAGGAAGCACUCGUCUCCAUCUUUUAUCAGUUGUGUGAUGAUGAAAUGUUCAUUGUUAAAUAAUUGCGUCAUUUUGGGAUCUCCUAAAAAUUGACAAUUUUGGAGGUAUAAUAGGGAUUUUAUACGUUUACAUUUUAUACAUACUAUACAUGGUCAUUAAUAAAUACAAUUUAAAAA
Long non-coding RNA from Syngnathus acus (greater pipefish), 2063 nucleotides. RefSeq lists it as uncharacterized. NCBI's taxonomy places the organism in Eukaryota, Metazoa, Chordata, Actinopteri, Syngnathiformes, Syngnathidae. The record is from RefSeq and is a predicted model, not a curated record. The transcript has 3 exons.